AAAGGUCGUAACAAGGUUUCCGUAGCUAUAAGUACAGAACACAAUGUUCUUCCGUGGUGAAACUUAUAGAAGCCUUUGCUACGACUUCAGCWAUGGGUAGCUCUCGCGACUAGAAAUAAUGAGUGGCUCAUGCAUACACAACCGAACUGACGGGGAAAUUCUAAUGCCUAUGACACUAACUUACUGGAGAAAUCUAGUAAGGGCGGGUGCUAAUAACACCUGGAAGUAAUAGUUCAUAGGAUGCAACAAUGGAUAAUCCGCAGCGAAGCCUCUAAGUGCAAGUAGUAUAUGAGGAACGUCCACAGGCUAAGUGGUUGUGGGUGGAAUUAAUUAUUCUGCUUAAGAUAUAGUCGGGCCAACUGGUUACUCAGUUGGGGAUAUUCAUUGCAAUCCUAACCGUUCCGUAGGUGAACCUGCGGAAGGAUCAUUAAAGAGAUUUGAUAGAUGGCCUAGCUGUCUCAUCAAUCCCACCCUUUGUUUAUAUUACCUUUGUUGCUUUGGCAGGCCCGCUCUCGGGCCACCGGCUUUGGCUGGUCAGUGUCUGCCAGAGGACCUAAAACUCUUGUUAAUAAUAUUGUCUGAGUACUAUAUAAUAGUUAAAACUUUCAACAACGGAUCUCUUGGUUCUGGCAUCGAUGAAGAACGCAGCGAAAUGCGAUAAGUAAUGUGAAUUGCAGAAUUCAGUGAAUCAUCGAAUCUUUGAACGCACAUUGCGCCCUCUGGUAUUCCGGGGGGCAUGCCUGUUCGAGCGUCAUUACAACCCUCAAGCUCUGCUUGGUAUUAAGCUUCACCUUUUUAGGCGGGCUGUAAAAUCAGUGGCGGUGCCAUUCGGCUUCAAGCGUAGUAAUUCUUCUCGCUAAGGAGUACCGGUUGUGCAUCUGCCAGCAACCCCAAUUUUUUUCAGGUUGACCUCGGAUCAGGUAGGGAU
RNAcentral lists this ribosomal RNA (928 nucleotides) under Miniancora allisoniensis. RNAcentral describes it as "eukaryotic LSU rRNA". The stretch from base 601 to 754 matches the Rfam family "5.8S ribosomal RNA". Lineage: Eukaryota; Fungi; Ascomycota; Leotiomycetes; Leotiales; Leotiaceae. The record is from RNAcentral.